Arabidopsis thaliana (thale cress) is the source of this 459-nucleotide long non-coding RNA. RefSeq annotates it as other RNA. The transcript has a single exon. The record is from RefSeq. Lineage: Eukaryota; Viridiplantae; Streptophyta; Magnoliopsida; Brassicales; Brassicaceae.
UUACUGGUCAAAUCGAAGGGGCUUAAGACUCUCCUCUGGUUACAUUUAAAAGGAAUCGAACGACCGUCACCGAGUCGUUGCUUUGCUUCGCUGUCCACAAGUACAUGUCAUUAAACAACGUACUUGAGGACCAAUUGGAUUUGUCCGUGACGUAGAAAGAAGGUGACAGCCUCAGUGGUAAUAGCACUUCCCUUCCGUUUAGAAAAUUUGGAUAAGGCUAGUUAGCCAGCCGGACUCGCACUAUUGCCAGCUGGCACGAGUACACCAAUGAGUCCGUUACGCGCGAGGAGAAGCGCGUGGAGGAUCGGACACGUGAUAUGGAGAAAGAACGUGAGGACGCGUGAUGCCGUGUGCGAUGCGAUGUGUGGACCACUUUUGGGGCUAAAAUAGCUAAGUGACUUACCAAACGUGUCUAGGACCUCGUUUUGGACCGUUUGACACGUGUCGAAACAGGGGACG